This is a long non-coding RNA of Lacerta agilis (Sand lizard), 602 nucleotides long. RefSeq lists it as uncharacterized. The record is from RefSeq and is a predicted model, not a curated record. Lineage: Eukaryota; Metazoa; Chordata; Lepidosauria; Squamata; Lacertidae. The transcript has 3 exons.
GGUGAGCAAACUAAUCAGUCCUCUGAAACGGAAUUCAGACUAAAUUUAUCUUAAUGAGUUUUCAAGUAUAACUGCAAGGAGGAUCUGUUGUCGAUUAUUAGGAGCGCAGAAGAGAGAACUUUACAUAACCACAGCAAAUGGACACAGUGAUGGAGCACCACAUGAUUGUUUUGGUUCAUGAAGAGUGCCACACGGUUGUCUGAAGAGAGGGGGCCCAGCUUCCCUUGGAGACUUCAUUUGAACAUGCAGGUGCAAUAAGAACACAGCCGAUGUGCCAAGAAGCUGCUGCAUCUGAGCCAGAAGUUCCCAUGAAUCAUUAGACUGGCUAUUUCAGCCCCUCUUGAAGUCUCAGGAGUAGCUCUCAUAAUGAAGUCAUUGCUUUCCCUUUCCUUUCUGCACAAAGCAGGGCAGCAUCCAUUUCUAGCCCAUUGUGGUCACUAAAUAGAGGCAUUGAAGAAUCUAAGGUUAAGGUGCACAGCCAUUUCAUUUACUUGGUUGUCAAUAUUCCAUUCCUAAUUUGUCAGCUAAGUGAUACUCUUUGGCUGCCUGACAACAUUUCAACAAAAGAAAUUUGUCCGUUGCAAUAUUCUUGCCAGCUUUGA